AUUGCUUGCAUUAGGAAAAUAGGAAGUGUUAAAAUCAUAACAGUUGCAUUAAAAAUAUCAUUGGUAAAACUUGUAGAAGAGUUGCAACCACAAGUGUUCAUUCUUUGAAGGUCUGAAGUGGUCCAAAACUAUACCAUAGAUGACCAAACUUUUCAGUCAAACAGUGAAAAUUAUACAGCGCACCCGGGUGUAUCCACCGUUGAUUUUGACCCGACGAAAAAAAAAAAAAAAAAAAAAAAAUUUAGACGGUGGAGAUGACGGGUGCGCGGAAUAGGCUCUCGUCAAACAGCUAGAACCCUUGAAAGUUAAGAUUCAAAUUCUCAAGCACUAGUGGAGCACACUGCUUCAGAUCCCACAUCAACAAGCAUCACAGCCAGUGAUUGCAACCCAUUACAAAUUUACAAUAAAGUUGUGAAAUUUAUAACAGUAAGGAAUAAAAGAUGAACAAUAAUUGCAAAAUUUAGUAUACACAAAAAACCAGAAGCAAAAACUUCAUGAAUCCAUGAAUUCCAUUGAUCUGUUCUAUCACCUUUUUAGUGAUACAAAAUUUGUACAUUGAUCUCUCUUCUCCUUCAGAACUAGCCCUACCCCUAAUUCUGAUACAUUCUACAUUGCCAACCCUUGAAAAAGAAACAGAAUUUCUCCUAAACCCAAAACCCCAAUCAGGGUUUUACCCCAGAAAACACCUAGUUUUCACUUUUCACAUUCCAAAUGUUACCCCUCACAGAAUGAGAAAAUUUACCAAAAGACCCCAUGUUAAUAAUUAAGUUAAAAAAGAAAGAUGAAAAAUCAGACCGAGUUUCUGGACCGGAGCAAGAAGACACUGAGUUCUUGACCCGGGCACUGAUCCGGGUUGAUCAGAUGAAACGACUCCGAGUCCGCGCUCCCGAUCACGUGCUCGUAAUUCGCCCUCAUGUACAUAACCGGGCCGUCCGAGUCCGACGUGCCCGACCCGAACCCGAACCCGGCGGGUAGAGCCCCGGCCCCGACGGUGGUGGACUCCAUGGUCUUGAGCAUGAGGCGGACUUUGUCGCCGGCUUUCCUCCGGGCGGCGAACCCGAGCUUGCGGCCGUUGCAGUGGAGGGACCAGACGGGGACGGAGCGGAGGGGACACGUGGCGAGAUCGGAGCGGUCGUCGCACUCGAGGGUGAUCCGGACCAACCCGAACCGCAUUUCCUUGACGAGCUGGUGGGUCAAGAUCGAGAGCUCCAGGAGGAGCGCGGGUCGGGUCGAGAGGCGGUCGUGCUGGACGCAGAACCACACGUGGCCUCGGCGGUGCCCGAAGAUGGUCCCGAUCACCAUCGACUUCGACGGCCUGGGCUGCGCGACGGAGGAGGUCACCGACGCGGCGGAGGGGGAGGAAGGGUCGGAGUCUUGGGCGGCGGCUGCGGAGGAGGAGUCAAGGUCGGCGUCGGGGAUGUCGUCGCGGAGGGAGGUGCUGAGGCGUUUCUUGGUGGGGGUGGCGGCGGAGGAGGAGGUGGCGGAGGGGGCGAAGCAGGGGAGGAGGAAUCGACGGAGGGCAUCGAUCUUGGUCAUCUUUCUUGUUUUUCUUGGUUUUUUUCUUUUCUGGGUUUGAAGGGAAUUGAAUUGGGUUGGUUUCUUGGGAUUUGAAAAAGGGGUUUAGGGUUUAAGAGGGAAGAAGAAGACUAGAGAGAGAGGGAGGGGUGUGGGUUGGGUACGAUCUGAGAGGGGUUUUAUAUAUAAACAGAGAUCAGAGCGCGGGAAAAAGUGAGAGACAGCCGUUGCAGUUAGUUUUUCUUCUUUUUGGCAGAGAACACCUCGCCAAAUUGCGACACGUGUGGUGCAGUCUACCAAAAUUGUCCUAUCACUAUGUGAUAUUGUGAUACAUCUCUGUUGGUUUUUGUUUGUUACCUUCUUGGUACAUCUAGUGAUCUAGUCACAUUGGUGUUUAUCCGUAUAGUUUCACAAAAAAGCAUGAUCUUAAUAGGCGAUUAGUGUGUUAGCAAGUAUGAUCAAGUAACGGUGUUUUGUUUUAUGGACAAUACAUUGACACCAGAUAUUUCCUGUUUUGUUAUUCUAUAUUUUAUGAUUCAAUAUUUUGGCAAAUAUAUAAAUCUUUUGCCGACCGUUAUUAUUCAAUUACUCUCAAACUCGAUCAAAUUAUAAAGAGUGAGAGGAGACGACAACUCGUUUAGUUAUGGAUCAGAGGUCCGACAUCCUAAUUUAGAAGUGCAACACCACUAAUCGCCCGUGCUAGCUAACUUUGUCAUCAUACCCAUCGCCCGUGCUAGCUAACUUUGUCAUCAUACUUUGCCUUCAACAGCCGUGAGGUUAAGAAAAAUACUAAUCAGAACGUUGAUACCUAAACCAACUAAAUCUCAAAGCAUAAUUAUAUGAAAACCCAUAACCCGUAUGAAGAACUCCCUCAAAACAACAUCAUACAAUCAAACAUUAAUACACAAGCCAUGAAUGAGCUGGGGAGGAUUGAAAAUCAGACCAAAGAACCAAAACCAUAUUAAAUGGAGGGUGAUGAAGCCACGUGUGAGUACCCAUAAUUGAAUAGGUAAGUGUGAAAUUGCACUUUAAGUGUGCAAUCGAACAAGCUCUGAUGAAUGUGUACAAUGGUAGUUGAUGAGUUAUUUUGGUGUUGGCUGACUAAUAAUCUGAAAACGUUGGGAUUUUUUAACAACCAUGUGAGAAACCGUCUUCUCCGGAACUGGAGGUAGCUAGUAUUAUCCACGAGGGGAUGAAAAUACACCACAAGGGUGGCAUGGACCCAUAAACAUGGAGUCUGGGAUAACUUGAAACAUAACUAAAUAAAGCAGAUGAGAUAGAGAAAACCCUUCUAAUGAAGACCCUUAAAUUGAGGAUUUGAUGAAGAUUUUUCGGCUUAUCCCACCUUUCGAUCUUAUAUCUACAUCUUGACCGUUCAGUUUAUAAGUAUUUAUGAGUAGAUCAUUUCUUCAAAUUUUCAGCUAUAUUGAAAAUUGUUAAGACAUUCAUAAGCGUGAUUUAUCAAUUAUGAACUUGAACGGUUCAUAUUUGACAGAUAUGGUUCGUCCAUUAAUUUGAUCUAGUUUGUUAUCUUAACGAACACCAAUUUGGGUGAAAAUUUGUAGAAAUGAUCUACUCAUAUAAACCUAAAAACUGAACGGAUAAGAUGUCAAAAUGUAAUCGAAAAUUAGGUCUUUAAUUUAAACCAUAAACGAAAAGUCCUCACCAAGUCCUCAACUUAAAGAUCCUCACUAGAAGGGCUCCCAUGAGAUAAAUACCUCAUGUGGGGUCAUAAUCAAGUCUCGGGCCUGUUGCCCGAAUAACCACUAACUUCGGCCCGUACAUCUCCGUUCUAUAUAUCCGUCUGCACUACCUCUGAUGCAACAAUCUUCCAACACUAAGAGGGACAAGUACCAGAUCUACUUGAUUCCAUCUUCGAGCCACAUCAUGUACAAUGUACCGCACACCUUGUUGGUCGGCUUGCCUCGACUGGCCUUAAUGUUGUGGCACAGCCAAACGAGAGCAAGAGACCACCACAAACUUUAGAUUUCGCGUGUAAGGCACGUUCCCUUGGAAAAGAAAAAGAGUUGUUUUUUUUUUUUACUUGGAAAAACAAUUUGAUGUAUGUCAUAUAACGUAACAUAGUUUAUGACAUGGAAUAUUGAACAUCAACACGUCAAAUGCACUGUAGAAUUCUAGAUAAAAUCUGGUGUUCUAGAAAACUUAAUCCAGUUUACAACGAUCAAAAUUGAGGGUGCAGUUUCUAUUCGAAGAUUAGAAAAAAAAAAAAAUACCUAUACUUGAGGGGGAUAGUGUAAAUAACCCUUAUUCUAACGUUCCUCUUUUGAUUGCUCUCGGCAUUGGUUUGCAGAAUCGAUGAGAACACCAGCCACCCCAUUUUGAGUGUUUCACUGUUUUUCUUCAUCACAAGUAGAUGGGAUUCUAGAACCGUCAUGACCAUCGACAUCGGACAGAAAAUGGCGUGCAAUGAAUUCGAAAAACAACAAGUUCAAGAUCCCAAGAGCAGCAAUGAUGUAAUAGUAGUAAUCAAGCCUGUUCUUGUUCAGGUCAUUACCACCCAGCCAUGAUGUAUUGCCAUUCAAACUAGUCACUUUCUUGACAAUGGUAACAAUAAUGGAGGUGCCGUAGCUUGCAAUGGAUAAGCUGAGAAAGAAGGCCGCUCCGGCAAAAGUCCUCAUGCUCUUUGGCCAUUGUGUUGUAAGCAACUCCAAUAAGGCAAUGGCUGCAAAUGCCUCGAUCAAACCUGCCAAGGCAAACUGUGGCACAAGCAAUGCAACAGUUAUAGGUGACUGGAAAGAUCUGUUUUCCAAAGCAGACUUUCUGCGCUUCAUUUCGGUGAGUCCAGCCACCACCAUGCACAGAAUUGACAUCACAAUCCCAACCCUGAAUCUUGUCUCCAUUGUCAAUCUUCCGGUCUCAUCGUUUUUCCUUUUCUUAAUCCAGGGAAUGUACAUGCUUUCGUAGAUGAUGAUCCAUAUCGAAAGUGCAAUCAUCGGUACGAGACCAAUCCAGGCUGGUGGCAUCUCGAAAUUGUUUCCAAUCUUUCUGUUUGUUUGGAUCGCUUGAAAGGUCCCAAAUGAUGGCAUUUGCUGCAUUCCUAUGAAAGCACCAAUUCCACUUACCCAAACAGGGAACAAAGAUAUGACGCAUUUGAGUUGCUCAACUUGUUGCACACUGCAGAGUCUCCAACCAGUUCUAGGGUUGCCACUGCUAUCCAAUUCAUCUGGAUCUACAAUUAGAGCAGCCUUAUCAAGAAACUUGAACCUCUCUGUGUGAGCAAGCAUUUGCUCCGACUCUUGUCCAAUUAAAGGAGCAUCAUAAAGGGACUGCCCUGAAGUCCUUGUACUAAACUUACGAAAAGAAGCUACAAUUACCUUCAUUAUGUCCCCAAAGGUGCUUCCUUGAGGCUUAACACGAACGUACAAUUUUCGGCCAAGCAAGAAUAUCAGUAUGGACAAGGCAAAGCAUCCAGCUGGUAUAGCAAAACCCAGAACCCAGCUGAUAUUAGUUUGUAUGUAGACCACUCCGGUCAGAGCUACGAUGAGAGCAAGGGUGAACAAAAAGUACCACCAAUUGCAAAAGCUAUCUAGCUGCGCUCUUCCCUUCUCCGUUGUGGUGUCAAAUUGAUCAGCUCCAAAGGCAAUGUUGCAUGGUCUGAGGCCUCCAGAUCCAAUAACGAGCAAUCCCAGACCAGAAUAGAGGACCAACUUCUGCCAUGCGUUGGGUUGUUCGCAAUGCGCUUGUCCAUUGCAGGCAGGAGGAGUUAGUUCAUGUAAACUUGCAGUUAAUGUCAAGGCCACCAUACCCUGUCAGAUUGAAAGAAGAAGUGUUCAUAGAAUCCUUUAGUUAAUGUUACGAAUUUGGACCCUGAAUCAUAAUGAAGAGUAGACUCUUACCAUGAGGGAUGCUAUAGAGCUAUAUAGAAGAGUGGAGAACUUCCCCAAGUGACUAUCAGCAAGGUAAGCACCAAUUAGAGGUGCAACGUUGCAUGAACCAGACCAGAUAUUGUAUACAUUAGCUGAAUCUACAUUUUCCAAGUUAUACUUGGUAUGCAGAUACAGCACCAGAUUUGCCACCAAACUCAUGGAAGCCAACUUCUCAAACGUCUCAUUCCCUUCAGAGUUCAAACACACGAGACUAAAUUUCUUAGCAAACAUGAAUGCAAGAGCAGGGGUUCAAUGACUUCAAUUCCCCAUAUAUAAAAUCAUACAGAAAACAAAACGAAAACAUGAACAAAAUUGCAAGACAUUCCAUGAAUAAGACUCACCAAGGAUGUAUCUGACGGCUUUCCAUCCUCCGAGCGGUCGGGGAGGAGGGGAUGAAGAAUGCAAUGUCGCAUGCUCCAAAUCUUUCUCUCCUAUACUACUACAACCUUCUUCCAUCUCUCUUUAAAAUUUCUCCGAGUUUGUUGAACUGGGAACUUGAGCUUUUCCCUAUAUUUGCGCAACUUUCAGAACUUAUUAUAACCGUUUGCUCUUCAAUUCAGGCAAAACGCAUGUAGGAGAGAGAGAGAUUAUAGAAGGAUUCUAAGCUAUUUAUUAAGUCUUUAACAAAUUUCAGUUCCCAAAUUCAGGAGAGUUAACCUGAACUACUGAAGAUCACACGUACCAAAUGAAACUCUUGUUAUCCUUCAACUCCAAAGUGAGCGUUUUCUGGACUGAUUGCCAACCAAGAAGUUUAAACAAGCCACUCAAACAAACUCUUCGACAUGCAAUGGAAUGUAAAGGAGAAGCACGUUUAGCACAUCACUGCAUCAGAGAAACGUCUCUUCUGAACCAGAGUGAUGGUUUGAAUGACCACAAAAGAACCUCACUAGCAACAGGUGCCAAUUUGUACCAUUCACAUUUGCACAGGACAAAUCCAUGGAACCAAUGUUUCGUCCUCUGCAUAAUCCAUAAAUGCAGCCAUUCUAAUAGGAAUGUAAUGGCAGACUUUCUGCUGAAAAUUUUCCAGAAUACACAAAAGCAUUGAAACAAAUCUUAUCCUCCGAGGGGAACAAGUUUGGGAGGGACUGAAAUCCUAAUUCAGGAUUCUGUGCUUAAUGAUACAAGGCACCAUCUAGACAUUGAAUGAACGACGUGUCACUCAGAUAUCCUCUCCCAUUAAAACUCAUCUAGUUAUUGCACCCCACUCCAUCUAGCCCAGUCUACGAACUGCAUUCCACCAUACACGUUGUUGGCAAAUCGUACACCAACAGUGAAAGCCAAUGCCACAGGUGGGAUCUGCUUUGCCAAAGGCGAUGUCUCUACCAAGCGUUCAAGUCCAUUGAUUAUCUGAUAGCGGGUGUUUGAAGAGACGGCAAGGAAAACACCUGAUAGUUUGGGGACAAAAGCAAGACCAAUUAUUGAACUUGUAUAUAUUCAUGACAACUCAAAAUAGAACACAUGUUAACCAGAACCAUGUGAUACUGAAAAAAGAUGAGGAGUAAUUAAGUAAUGCAUACCCCAAAGAGCUGCACUCUUGAUUAGAGGUGGCACUGGUAUGUCUUCUUCUGAUUUCUUAAUGCUCCUGACAUUUAGAAAAUGACUUGGUCAGGAACGAUACAAAUGUAGAAAGCUACUGAGAUUGCUAUCAGUAUGUCUACCACAACAGAAUCACACUUAGCAUGUUUUCAUAGAAGCAUACCGCUUAGCAGUCAUAAUUAAGUUUGCAAUUCCUUGGCCAAUAAUACCACAUCCGAAACCAACUGCCCCAUAUAAGAUCCCCUGAAUAACAGGAAGAUUGGAUCAACAAUUUGGAUGAACCAAGACACACAAGAUCAUAUUUUGAAGACACGUGUAAAUCUUACCUUGAAAAAAUAAGUUGCAAUUCUCUGUUUUACAGAAUAUCCAAAUCCUGAUCUUUCAGCUUCAAACACACUGCAUAAGAUGCCCACUUUAGAAAUUGAAAAAAUAACAAUAUUUUCUAAAGCUGGAAACCAAAUGCGACCAACAAUUCCGAAUGGACAAGAAAGAAAUUAUGAGAUCACUAAUAUGAAGGUUAAUGAUUGUUUGUAUGUGAGCUAUUGACCUGCUAGGAAGAGCUCCAUAAGCAUGUUGCAUGCGUCCAAGGAACCCUUUUGAUAGGGAUGGUUGCCCAAUACGAGCAUAGGGUGCCAACAUUCCAACCAAAGCAACAUUAACCACUACCCCAACCAAAAGGUCUGCAACGUACAACUCAAAUUCGGCCCAAAAAUCUUUUCCCCUCUUUUGAACUUCAGCAAAUGUAGCGCAACAAGAAUCAAUGACUAUCUGUAUGCAGCAUUUAGUGAAUGAUGAUUACUAUAUUAUACUGGAACAUGUGGCAAUCGCUAUACAGUGUUUAUAGAGACUUAAAACACAUAGGAAUCUAUGAUUAACACACAGAACUGGAGAUUCAAAAUACCACAUAAGCGUUCACUAUGCAUCUGACCACAUCUGGGAUAGCUUAUCAUAGGGAUUAAGAGAGCAAGACAUGCAUGUGGAGCGGACGUAGCUUAUAAUUCUUGGGGAUCUAAGACAAAACUAAUCACCUAUUAGACUUGAUUAUACUUUUCCCUUUAAUCAUAGAUACUAAAUACAUUUCUCUUUCCAUAACUAAAUAUAAAACCAUCUUAUGUCCACCAUGCCACCAUGUAACUGGAAUUGGAUUUAUGAAUUUUGUAUUACAUUAAUAGGAUUAACCUACACGAAUGAUGUAUAAGUAUACAAAUAAUCAAAACAAACCUCUGUUCCAAUUUUGAAAAGAAAAGAUGGGUCAGCUAGCAUACGAUCUCGAAGCAUAGAGCAUGACUUCAUUGCAAAGCCAAGAGGCCAGGCUGACCCCUGCAAUUAAACAGUAAACCAAAUGAGGAGAAAUAAACACGAAUUCACAAGACAUUCAUACAGGAUUUAGGAAAAGAAACGUAGCAUAAAUAUACCUGCAAAUCCAGAUAUCUAAGGAGAAGCACUUUGCGAAUUCCCACAUUCUUGGCAGCCUCUAACAUAUCAAGGGGAAGACUAGCCCCUCGAGCCUCAGUCUCUUUCAUAACUUCUUCAAAUUUCAGAAUUGGCCCAAACUCUUCUUCAUCUCCGUCUUCCCCAUCAUCAUUACCACCGCCACCACCUCCUCCGCCUCCUCCAUCUCCUCCUCUUCCAUUAGGAUGCUUCCCAUUACCACCACUACCAUCAAGCACAACCCCAUUACCAUCAUAAUCAGGCUUUGAACCGCCCUCAUUCUCCAAAAUCCUAGCAUCCUUCCCUAGAGCAGUACCACCUCCCUCAUUCGAAACUGUGACUGCACCCAAGCUGAAUUGCCUUCCACCCCGAGGCUCUAACAUACUCAUGACCAAAUUAUUCCACUCUUUCUUCACCGAAAUCAAAUUCAGCCCAUUUCUAAAGCUUCUAUUCCCACAAAAGGUCGGUAAAGCUACCUCCUUUGCCAUACUCCUAAACCUAACACUAUCUAAACCCAAAUUCUGACUACAAAUCUUCCUCAAAACCACCUCGUUCCGCCUGGAAACAACAGUCGAUACUCCAAAACUUGAAGAACAACCAGACAUUUUUCUUUCAAGAUCUUAAAAACUUCUCAAGUAAAUAAUACAAGCUCGGAAUUUUCGACGAAUUAGGUGAUUGCCACCGACCCUUAUCAACCUAUGCAAUCAAAAACAAACAAAUCCACAUUCAUGCUUCUACUCAACCAAACUAACUACAAGUCUACAACCACAAACUAGUCAUACAUAUGCAGAAAGGCCAGAAACAUAGAAUUAGUCAAACACACACCAAAGACAAAACACAAAAACAGCUUUCAAUUGCAGAACACAUCAAAAGGAUGAUCUGACAGCACAGAAUGGAAAUUACUAAAGACCCUUGUGAAGUUCAUACCUUCGCAAACAAAGCUUGGUUGAGUGGGAAAUGAGGGAAAGUGUGAAGCUUUGUUGGGUUGGAGAUGAAGAUUGAGGUAAAGAAUGAGGCUUUCAAGUUUCAAAUACUGAAGAUUCACAAAGUUGAAAUGAGUGCUGAAUAAUUUGGAGGGUAGUGAGUCAAGGAGUGAGGGAGGCGGAGACGCGAAAAAGGGACGUUUGAGAUUUUUUGGGUCCUUUUUUCCUCUUUCUUUUCUUUCAGUUGGUGGAGGCUGGUUCAGUUAAUACUCUGGGUUUUUGCCACGUGCGGAAUUUACAGUUUGUGAAAUGUGUGAUUUGGGGGAUUAGGGUUUUGCUUUUUCUACCGUUUGUGAAUUCCACACACCUCAAAUUGAAAUUCAUAUACCUUUUUUGUUUUUUAUGGAUUUCAAUUUGGGGUGUGUAAAAUUUAUUUUAGGGUAUGAAAUGAGAGCCCUCUGUAAUCUAUGGCAAAAAUUAAUAUGACAUUUGUGGCAUAAUAAAACGUGUUAUACUUGCCUUGUGGUAUCAAGUGUCAUUUUGGGGUAUCAAAUUAAUAUGUUGAUACCUCCUUGUGGCAUAAUAUUCGAUUGUGUGGUCGGAUUAAUAUUUGAUUGUCAGCAUAAUAGAAAAACUAAUUUAAUAGUUUUAUGACAUUGCUUUAUCUUUUCCAUAUACUAUCAUUAUUGUGAAGCAAAUUUAUCUAUUACUAAAGCUUGGUCGACUGUUCAUAUCAUAGGCAUAUGAACAGUGUAUUUUUUUUUUUUUUUUGUUGGAAACAGGUAAUUUAGUAUUUUUUUUAGAUAGGCUUUCUCUUGGCAAAUUUUUUUUGCCUUCCAUUUUUUACUUUUCUUCUACAUCCUGAAUCUUACAAAUCAAAAUAAUUAGAGCAUUUAUAUUUUGGGUAGAAUACAAUACUAGAUGUUUUGUUGUAUAAAAGAUACAUAAGUGGAAUAUGCAUAACGUGGAAACUACACCGCACCAAGAAUUUUGCUCCUGUUAUUUUUAAGAAACCACAAUAUUUUCAUUAACUCUAGAUAUAUAAUCAGUAUAAUAGUUUGGUAUAAUUUGUAUGUAUAACAUUCUAUGAAGUACAUAUCAGAAACAUUUAUAUCAAUCAAUUAACCCAUUGACCAGCUUCAUAACGUUGUUUUUGGAUAAAGUAAUUUUAAUGUCUAUAGAAAUUUUAAAGUCAUGAGAAUUACAAUGUCAUGAAUUUAAAUCCUAUUAAUUGAGAAUUCCAUUGUUUGAAUUUCAUGAUGUGUCCAUAGAAAUUUCAAAAUACAAUUCCAUGAAUUUAAAUCCUAUCAAUCGAGAAUUUCAUUGUUUGGAUUUCAUGAUGUAGAGUUUUAAAAUGACAAGAAUUUGUAUUCAGACUAAUCUUAGUUAAAGAAAUUGACAAAUGAUGCUUAUUUUGUGAGGAAUUCAAGUCGGGAAUUUAAGUUCCUAAAUUUCACGAUUAUUUUCCUGUGAAAAUUGCUAAUUCCAUAAGAUAAGUAUCCAAACGAGGAAAACCGUCCUAAGAAAUUGGGAAUUCCUUAUUUUUUAUUAAAUUCUCAGAAAUUCACCCACAUCCAAACACACCGUAAAUGUAUAUACCGCGCCAAGGCGCGGGUAUAAUUCUAGUAGAGUCAUUGAUGUGACACUCUUUGCUAUUAGGUGUGUGUUUGUAGACAUUGUAGGUGCAAUUACUCUUGUAUUUCAUGAGUUUCUCUUGUGUUGUUUUGUAUUAUGGGGUUCAGGCACAAUGUUUUCCUACCCCUCUUGUGUAUUAAUUUGUUUCAUUAAUCAAGGUGUGAUAACUGUCUUAUUAACCAAGACUGAUCCAUUGGCAAACCCAAAGACCAAUUCGUUGGCAAAAACCAAGUCUGAAUCUACUCAUAAAGUCUGAUUCGUCAGCAAAUCCCCACCAAACCAUUGUUGCAGCUUGUUGUAGCAAAUAUCAUUUAAUUUUCGUUGUUUAAGCACAUUAAGAGUAAUCUUAGGUUUGGUAAAAGAAUCCAGCCAGUUGCUUGGAGCAAAAGUCAGGAAAGCGCGAAGCAUCAAGUCAAGACGGUUACGUUGAACCCAGAAGCGUUGGCACGCUAGCACAAAAAAUCACGCCCGAACAAAGGGUGAUCAAAGGAAGAUGUGCUUGGCAAUUACCUUGACAAAUCUUGUGCAUAGAAGCUAACUCGAAAACUUUUGUAGCGCAUCGAUUUGCGACGAUACUGCUUUGAGAUAUUGACUUUGAGAACAUUAUGAUCAUUUAUCGUAAUCAAAAGGUUCUGAACUGUACAACAUACCAACAAAAUAAAACUCAUCUCACUCACCUUUAAACCAGAUACGCGAUCUGCUUCCAGGUUAAUAUUGGUAACCGGAUGAAAAUGAAAAUUAUAUUAAUUGAACUACCGAUUGCAUCAUCAUCCGAUGCCCGAUUCUUUGAUGUCUACGAGAGUUUGAAUAUUUAAAUCUCAAAAUUUAAUUCAAGUUCUGUUCACCAACAUGUGUGUUCUUUACGUAUUCACCUAUUGCAAUAGGUUUGUGAAGUAUCACAUGAUAUCAUGUUUGUUACAUUAUAUUCUCUAAGAUAAUAUAUGCGUUACGAAGUAACAAACUAUUCCGUCUAUCUUUUGAUUAAUAACUAAAUUAAAAAAACGGUUUCCUCUAAAUCUCUCAAUGCAUGAAAUUAUGUAAAAUAUUAAAUAAAAAAUCAAUAUACAAUUCCAACUAAAAUUUUCAGAAGCAAUUUUGUCCAAUGAUGUAAGUUUUUUUUUAUUAGAAAGUAUUUUGCAUAACAUAUAUACUAGUCGAAAAUGUGUUCUCCUCAUCUUUUUUUCAAUUGUUUCUUCUAAGAGAAAAGAAAACUGCUCUAAAGUGAUUUCUAUUGUUAUCUUUUUACUUUUUAUCCUCUAUCUAAACAUAUUUAUUUUUAUAAGCAAUUUAAUAAUUCAAGGGCAGUGAGUUUCAGGAAUUUUCUGAAACUCGCCUUCAUACCCGUGCAAUGCGUAGGUAAACGAUGCGCUUCAAAUUUACAUAGAAACAUGGACAAAUUGGAGAAUGGAGUAUGGAGUACAAUAGAAGAAGAAGAACAGAUGUCAGCGUUACAAACUAAAUUUUUUAUACCGUGAACUGAUCAAGAGGGACUACAAUAAAGAUGUGUUGUUAUUUCUGAUGUUCAUUCUUCUUGCUUCCAUCUAUCAUUCUAUGAUUUUAUCGAUCACCAAUUAUCCUUUCUCUUUUAUACAAACUAUGUGGGGGUGGUUAUGUAUCCACUACUCUCCAUAAUCCCACAUCUCUUUAAGUAAUUAUCUGAUACAUUCUUUUUUUGUAAUUUGUCUUUUAAUACAAUAACCCUCUUCUUUGUUUUACAAAAUAAACCUAAUAGGGAUAGUUUUGGCAGCUCACAUUUUAAUCCUGGUGGUUUUAUAGUAGUAAUAAAGAUAAAGAUUUAACCAUAGGGUGAUGUUACGCCUUUUUUUGCUAUUAACACACCUCAUUUAUUUUCUUAUCCACACAUUUCAAUUUUAUUUACAAAUUUAUCACUUGAAUUUGAUUGAAUUUGAUUCGUGAUUGACUCUCAUAACAGAUGGGGUGUAGUGUUAUCCGCUUUAACCAUGAGCAAAAAUCCAAAUUCGCUUAAUUAAUACUGAACACACACCUAUAAAUAAAAUUGGUUUUGGCCCUUUUGGCCUUCCGUAAUCAAAUUUGCUUUACUGGGCGGCAGUCAUGGACUCAUGGUGAACCUGCAGAACUACCGGUUAGACAAGCAACCGUGUUUCACUCAUCAGCACUUGGGCUCCAGAACAAUCCAAGUCCUCUUCAUGGUCCCUCUCAAGCUUUUGCAGUAGAAGUUUUUCAUACGAGUCAUGCCACUUGUUUUCUCAUUGGUUAAAGAUUUCGCCUUUCCGAAUGCAUAUUUUCUUUUACUGUUAUUAUUUUGUUUGAUUAUCUCUUCGAUGAUUAUGAUUUAGUAUUCCUCAUUCAGGAAGCCACAUUAGGGUUUAGAAUCAUCGAUCUAUUUUUUCAUAAUCUUGUUAAUAUAAUGUGCAUUUACUGUUGAUAUAUAUAUAUAUAUAUAUAUAUAUAUAUAUAUAUAUAUAUAUAUCCCACAUUGGGAAUUGAGACAUUGCUUGUGGGUUUAUAAGGGUUUAGGCCACUCUACCUAUUGCCAAUUGGUUUUGGAUGUGAAUCCCAGACUAUUUUAUCAUGGUAUCAGAGCGGGCUACCCACGUCCACAUGUGAAAUCCAAUGGCCACACGCACUCCACGUCACCCAAAAUGUUGUCCACGUGUUAGGCUUAAAAAUUCGCCACAUGUGCGGGGGCGUGUUGAGAUAUAUAUCUCACAUCAGGAAGGAAUUGAGACAUUGCUAGACUACUUUAUCAUUUACUAUACUAGAUAGAGACGAAAAGGAUUAGGAGAACAGGAGUAUAUAUACAUACAUACUGCAGAAAGGAACCUCUAAGUUGUUGGAGUCACAGUACUCCUUUAUUCAAUUGAAAUUCAGGGGUGAUAUUACAAUAUUACAUAUUCUAGAAUUGCAUAUCUUUAAUUUUGGAUACAUAAACUAUAUUUUAAUUUAUAGUAUAAGACGUUCUUGAUAAUCAAACUUUUAGCCAAUCCUUCUGAAUUAGAAGCUCCAGAAUCCUACUCAUUUGGAAUUAGAAGCUCCACAACCUUACUCAUGGCUGGCCUUGCAUUGCGGUCUUCAUGCACACAAAGUAGAGCAACUUUCAUCAAUCUUUCAAGCUUCUUGUUGUUGAAUUCGUGGUGUAGUCUAGGAUCAAUCACAUCCUCAAGCCCUUCUCUGAUGAUUUUUUCAAUCACACAUUGUACUACUUGGUUGUGUUCUUUGUUCUUUGGGAGGGGACUAGCCUGGGGCGUAAGUAGAAUAGAAGCACUCUUUCCAGUCAGUAGUUCUAACAAAACAAUCCCGUAGCUGUAGACAUCUACCUUUGCAUCAAUCUUCAGAUUCAUCAUCCACUCUGGAGCCAUGUAACCUCUGGUGCCGCGAGCUCUUGAAAACCCAGUGUCAUCAGGAAUGUCUUUGAACAACUUUGACAUGCCAAAGUCUGCCACUUUUGGUUCAAGUUGGUCAUCUAAAAGAAUGUUCUGAGGCUUUACAUCACAGUGGAGCACCCAUUCCAAGCACUCCUCGUGCAAAUAUGACAAACCCUUUGCAGUUCCUAAUGCAAUGUUGUAUCGCUGCUCCAAUCCUAAUUCCACAUCUGAGAACAAGAUUUUAUCCAAGGAUCCAUUCUCAUGGUACUCAUACACCAAUAGCUUAUGUUCAUUCUCAGCACAGAAACCCCAAAGCUUAACCAAGUUUCUGUGGUUGAUAUUCCCUAUAACACUAACCUCUGCCCAAAACUCUGCAUCUCCUUGCACGAUGCCUUCUAGUCUCUUCACAGCAACAACUCUUCCAUCGCCAAGAACCCCUUUAUAAACUGCUCCAAAACCGCCUUUUCCUAUCUCCUGUGUGAAAUCCUUGGUUGCUCUUUUCAGUUCUGCAUAGGUGAAACGUUUGAUUUCCAUGACUAAUUCCAUGUAACCAAUGCUCACAUAGUCCUCACCAGCAUGCUUUCGCAACACGCACCACCAUGUCAAGCCAAUGCAGAUGGCUUCAAAUAUUGCAAAAGAAGUUACAAAGCCAAUCAGGUACUUAAUAUACUGAUUGCUCUUUUUCACUCGAGGACCACUACUUUUAUAAGCAACUUCUGCCCUGGAACAGUUCAACUCAUAUGUCUCUGGCUGGAGUACUUGAGGACUCAGUGAAGCUUUCAAAAUCUUAAUAUGGAUGAUGCUGGGAGUACUUGGCACACGAAAUCCAUUAAGAAGAAAGUUCUUAGGGUAACACUGUCCAAAUCCGUCUAGUGCAAAUCCAAACCCUUUGCACCUUGUAUCAUUCAGGCAUGUAUUCCUGCAUUCUUCGAAAGAGAUUCCCAUAUGAUAGGUGUCCAAAUCAGAUCCGUAGUAAUCUGUGUAAGGAAGCUCCAUGAAGUCCAACUUUUUUGAGUCAUGAGACAAAUUGUAUGGAGGUGAGCAGCCUUUGGACCAGUCUGAAGGAUCAGUCAGGGAAAAACCAGGAGGGCAAGUACAAGUUGGUUCUGGUUUGUAAGUGCAAAUACCAUACUCACCACAUAAGCCAUGAACCCGGCAAUAAUCAAUUUCAGGCAACCAUGAGACUUUCCAAAGUCCAGUUGAUUCAUCUAGACUGUACAUUCUUAUGAGGCCAUCAUAAUCCAAGGUUAGACGGCGCUUUGGACCAACCCCAUAGUCAGAUGCUUUGAACUUUAAAUUGUCACUUGAUACAAAUUUUCCUCGUUCAUCCAAUACUGCUACUCUAGAGCUAUUGUAAGGUGAUCUGCCACUACCAAAAACAGACACAUCCAUCUUUGGCCAAUAAACACUUGACACUAGAGGGCUAUCGUGGGUGAGGUACAACACAUUAUUACCAUCAAAUUUGAAAUUAUAGUAACCAGACAAGUAUGUACCUCGACUUCUCAUGGACACCAAGGUUUUGCUCUUGUCAAAUUGCUGCGAUGGUAAAAGUGUGUCUGUGGGAGAAUCAAAACUCUGCCAGAUGAUCCUCUCUGCUUGGUUGAGCAGUACCAAAUUUCCGGUUUCAAGAAGUCGAAGGUGAAACUCCAUGCUUGCAUUAGAUAAAGUGUUAGUUGACCAUACUGUUGAACCAACUCCAUCAGUCAAGACCAGGUUGCCAUUUCUCUGGAGGCUUAAUUUUGACUGUCUUACACUGACAGGUGUGUCUCUGUUAGCCAUCCAGACAACUGUUUUGUGGACAGUGUUGGUGUACCAUACUGAAUAGCAAGAGGCAUUGGUGCUGAUGUUGUAAAAUCCACUAGAGAAAGUUCCUUUUGGUGAAACCAAGACACUCUCUUCCUCGACUUCCAAGGAGCUCCCUUGCCUUAAGCUUUGCAGCCCUAGUGACCGUGUUUGGAAAGAAGCAACUGUUGCGGCAAAAAGUAGAAGAAUGAGAAAUUUAGGAACUUCCAUGUUAUGUUUUCAAUAUUGCUUUUGGCCUUCAGAUGAGUCCAGUGCCUAUGUAGACUAUAAGCAGGUUUGUCUCUCUAUCCAUUUUCUUGGAAUUUUAUGCACAAGUUUCUCGAAAUAUGCCAAAAUUUCCAUGCAUUAUGUGUAUGAGAUUCAAUGACUCGUUCAUAAGUCUUCACUUCCAUUGUGUGGUAUGGGAUGAAGAUAAAGACCUGUGUCUAUUGACUCCAGUUCUAAAGACCUGGCCUUCAUGCAUUGACUUCUAGUCAACCCAAUUUGUUUUUUAAUUUGGUGAAAAUAAUUUUCUUAUUUGAUAUUUUACAAUCAGAUCGAUGUGAUAUUUCUAAUAGCAUCUAACUUUUUCAAAUGCAGCAGCAGUUCUUAGUUUAUACUUCUGAUGCAAGAAAAGACAUCUAUAACUGAAUUGGAAUAUAAUUACUUCAUGAGAUGGCUGAACAACCUGAUGCCCCAAGUUGGGGAAUCUGACCAUCAAGUAAUAUAAGUUUUACCCCAGACAAAGUGUCUAUCUUAUCUUUAACAUAAGACAACUACUAGUUUUAUUAGAAUGAGUCUUUUAUCUUCAGCUGAUUGCUGGAGUCGUAAAUAUUGAUACAUUAUUGUAGGAAGCUCAAAAAAGCUAAAACUAAAUACAACCAUAGCAUACAGUUAAUUAGGCAGUUUUCAUUAUAUGAUUUUCCAUUCUUCAUCAUUCUCUUCACUCAUCAUUCUCAAGUAGAAGCUCUACAACCUUGCUCAUGGCAGGUCUUGCGCUGCGGUCUUCUUGCACACACAGAAGAGCAACCUUCAUCAGUCUUUCGAGCUUGUUCCUGUUAAAAUUAUGAUGGAGUCUAGGAUCAAUCACUUCCUUAAGCCCUUCGACUCUGAUCUUUUCAGUCACACAUUGUACCAGUUGGUUGUGCUCAGUGUACUCUUGUGCAAAAGCUGUAAGCAGAAUAGAUGCACUCUUUCCACUCAGUAGCUCCAACAAAACAAUCCCAUAGCUGUAGACAUCUGCCUUUGAAUCAAUUUUCAGGUUCACCAUCCACUCUGGAGCCAUAUAACCUCUGGUACCUCGAACUCUCGAAAAUCCAUUGCCUGCAUCAUCAUUGUCAAGUUUGAAUAACUUUGACAUGCCAAAAUCUGCUACCUUAGGUUCAAGAUGCUCAUCUAACAGUAUGUUUUGAGGCUUUACAUGACACGACCCACCCCAAAUUUCACCCUGAAACCCGGAGUAAGUCGUGCGGGGACCACCUCCAAGGAAAAUUUACUGAAAAGAUUGAGAAAAUCUCCCUUGCAGAUGAACAACCCUAACUCGAAAAUUCCAAAUUUCACUCUUAAUUCAACACUUCCAAACAUCACAUAAUAUACAAUAAUCCUAAAGUAUUCAGAGCUACUAAACACAAACGGAAGCAAGAAAACACGAGUAGGUUGAACAGGUAACCUACUGAUGAAAACUGGCAGAAAUACGGGUGACUAUGCCUCGCCUCCUACUAGAUCCAACCCGAACUCUGCAGACUGGGCAAUUUAAAACGAAAGGCCCAGGGGAAAACAUUUAAUAACGUUAGAGUGAGUGGACAAAAAUAAAAUAAAGGAAAUAAUUCUUUAUGCUUUCCCAAUUUUNNNNNNNNNNNNNNNNNNNNNNNNNNNNNNNNNNNNNNNNNNNNNNNNNNNNNNNNNNNNNNNNNNNNNNNNNNNNNNNNNNNNNNNNNNNNNNNNNNNNNNNNNNNNNNNNNNNNNNNNNNNNNNNNNNNNNNNNNNNNNNNNNNNNNNNNNNNNNNNNNNNNNNNNNNNNNNNNNNNNNNNNNNNNNNNNNNNNNNNNNNNNNNNNNNNNNNNNNNNNAUGAUAUAUAUAUAUAUAUAUAUAUAUAUAUAUAUACUCACCAAAAUUCUCAAUUUCGGUUAUUCUCCAACAACAUAAAUUAUUUCGCAUGCACAUUAUUUAAGACAAAAGUCCACUCACAAAUUAGGCCUAAGCCUGUGUCGAUCUGGGGCCUCGUCAGCUCGAGCCUCCUCACGACCUAGCUCAAGAGGGAGUGAGUCCUUUUAGGGCAAGGUUGCUGGGUUGGAGGGCUACAAAACCAUACCAAGCUUGCCCGGAUUGGUGGCCGGAGGAGGGAGUUCCGGCGAAAAGCUUUCCGGCGUUUCCGGCGUUUCCGGCGGGUUUUCUCCUCUUCCGGCGGGUUAGAGGCUCGGGGGCUAGGCCGGGGAGGGAGAGGAGGAAAUGGGGGUCCGAACUGGGGUGGAGCGGCGGCCGGUGGCUGGCCGGACGGCGGCAGCUGGCGGCUGGACAGUCCGGCAGUGGGAGGAAGAAAAUUCGGGGGAGGGAAGGAGAAAACGGGAGAGAGGGAGAAGAGAAAAAAAGGGAGAUGGGUUUGGGCCUCUCCAAACCGGUCCAAUCCACUUAUAACCCAAUCUUCCAAAAUAAAAACACCCCGAAAAAAUAAUACCCGAAUAAAAAUUACCUUUUACUAGCUAAAAUUUACCAUUUUUACAGUCGUCGUAUUUUCCUCAUACGAAUAAUCCUCCGCACAUAAUCGUCCCCGAAACCCCUCUAGGGACCAAUUAAACUAUUUACUCAAUGAUCGAGACGGUAAAAUUCUUAAUAUAAUCACGCUAGUAAAUAAGGUAAAAAUAUAAGGGUCGGGAUGUGACAUUACAUCACAGUGGAGUACCCAUUCCAGACACUCCUCAUGUAGAUAUGACAAACCCUUUGCAGUGCCUAAUGCAAUAUUGUAUCUCUGCUCCAAAUCUAAUUCAACAUCUGAGAACAAGAGUUUAUCCAAGGAUCCAUUCUCCAUGUACUCAUACACCAAGAGCUUAUGAUCAUUAUCAGCACAGAAACCAUAUAGUUUAACCAAGUUCAUAUGAUUGAUAUUCCCUAUGACACUAACCUCUGCCCAAAACUCUGCAUCUCCUUGCACAAUGCCUUCUAGUCUCUUCACAGCUACAACUCUUUCACCAUCCAGAACCCCUUUAUAGACUGUUCCGAACCCUCCUUCUCCUAUCUCAUGUUUGAAGUUAUUGGUUGCUUUCUUCAGUUCUGCAUAGGUGAAACGUUUGAAUCCUACAGCAUUUAUGGCUAAUGCCAUAUACCCCAUGUUCACCAUUUCCUCAUGAGCUUGCUUACGGAAAACAAACCACCAUGUCAAGCUGAUGCAUAUUGCUUCAAUUACCCCAAAGGAACUCAAAAAUCCAACAAGGUAUUUCAUGUACUGGUUUCCAUUGCCCUUUUCUGUUUCAAGAUCAGUACUUACAUGAAACCGUACCGCUGAACAGUUCAAAUCAUGUGUCUCUAGUCUGGUUUGUACUGCACCAGGAUUCAGAAAACCUUUUGGAAUCUUAACAUGGAUGAUGCUCUUAACAUCCGAUAGACGAUAUCCAUUGAGCAGAAGACUCUUAGGGUAACACUCUCCUUUCCCGUCCAGUGCAUAUCCGAAUCCCAAGCAUUUUGAAUCCACCAGACAUGAAUUCCUGCAUGCUUCAAAAGAGAUUCCAAGAGUGUAGCUUACCAUGUCAUAUCCAUAGUAAUCUGUGUAAGGAAGCUCCAGGAAAUCCAGCUUGCUUGUAUCUUGAGUCAAAUUGAAGGGAGGUGAGCAGCCUUUGGACCAAUCUGAGGGAUCAUUUAGGAAAAACCCUGAAGGGCAGGUACAAGUAGGUUCUGGUUUGUAUGUGCAAAUACCAUAUUCACCGCACAAGCCUUGAACCCGGCAUGCAUCAACACCAUCAGGCAACCAUGAGAGUUCCCACAUCCCUGUCGGUUCACCAAGACUGUACAAUCUUAAGAUGCCAUCAUAAUCCAUAGUUAAACGCCUCUUUGGACCAACCCCAUAGUCAGAUGCUUUGAACUGCAUGUUGUCACUAGAUAUAAAUUGUCCGGCCACAUCCAAAAUUGCCACCCUGGAGCUGUUGUAAGGAUUUCUACCACUCUCAAAAACACUUGGAAUAAUCCGAGGCCAAUAAACACUAGAAAGUUGAGGGCCAUUGUAGAUGAGAAACAAGACACUGUUAUCAUCGAACUUGAAGUUAUAGAAUCCAGAUAAGUAUGUACCUUGGCUUCUCAUGGAUACCAAGGUCGUGUUCUUGGUGAGUGGCUGUGUUGGUAGAAGUGUGUCUGUGGGAGAAUCAAAACUCUGCCAGAUUACCCUCUUGGCUUGAUUCCUCAGCACCAAAUUUCCUGUAUCAAGAAGAACAACUUCUGUGUCUUCGUUAGAGAUUGUGUUGGUUGACCACACAAGUGAACCAAGUGCAUCUGUCAAAACCAGGUUGCCAUUUGCAUGGAGGGUGAGCUUAGAGCCUCUUUUGCUAACAGGCCUGUCUCGGUUAGCCAUCCAGACAACUGUUUUAUUGACACUUUUGGUGAACCAAAUUGAAUAACAGGAGGCAUUGGCACCAACUUUGUAAAAUCCACUGGUAAAUGUUCCAUCUGGUGAAACCAAGACGUUGUUCUCCUCCUCAGCUUUCAAGGAGUUCCCUCUCCUUAAGCUUGGCAUCCCUUGUAACUGUUCUUGACUCUGAGAAAAUGUUGCUGCAAAUAGCAAAAUGAGGAGAAAUGUGAGAACUUUCAUUGUGGAUAUUUGGAAAAUGCUUUAGCUUUGGGAAAUAAAUGAUGGACAAUGUAGGCUUAUAACGUAGCCUUCUUUCUGUGUGAAUUCAGACUAUAGUAUCUUCUAGUUGGUCCUAUAAGAUAGCCUUCUUGCUGUUUGAAUGAGAUUAUAAGACUACUCUCUUCUAUUUGGUCUUUUGUGCAGAAGUGCAGAACCUUUCUUCACGUAUGUAUAACUUGAGCUUUACCAGAUCAUAGGCAUUUUUUAUUUUGUUCCACGUAUCUAUAGUUGAAGACUUGAAGUUUCUUUAAUACUGCUCUUUCCAUGAAUUAUAACAAACUUAUGAGAUUCAAUAACUGAGUCAAGGAAUAUAAAAGAUGGAAGUCUUUUCCUUCCUUUGUUUAGACUUUGAGGACCUGUUUUUAAAGACCUGAGUUGUCUUUCUCAACUUUGUACCCCUGCAAUGGGGUGGGGUGGAAAUUUUAAUCUUAUGACUCGGAAACAAAACAUCUAGAUAUCUCAUUUAGUUAAAAAUACUAAACGAUAACGAAAAAAACUAAGGGAUGCACUAACUUUUCUGUAGGAGGAACAUUGGAUUCAUCUUCACAUUCUAGAAAUUUUUUUAUUACUGAAUCCAUUGUUGGUCAUUGAAGCUUAGCCCUUCAAUGUAAUUAGGUUAUCUAGAGAAAAAGAAAUACACAGAAACUUAAAAGUAACAAAAUUGUUUCAUUGGAUUUUUUUUUCUUCAGCUGAAAUGCUGGAACUAUAGUUACUGCUACACAUAGAUUUUAUCACACUGUAAAAACUUAUAGCUUUUAUUCUCUGUUCUUCACUUCUUCAUCAUGUACCUUUCACUCAAGUAGAAGCUCCACCACCUAACUCAUGGCAGGUCGUGCAUUUCGAUCUUCUUGUACGCUCAUAAGAGCAACCUUCAUCAAUCUUUCGAGCUUCUUUUUGUUGAUAUCAUGAUGAAGUCGAGGAUCUAUCACUUCCUUAAGCCCUUCUACUCUGAUCUUUUCAGUCACACAUUGUACUAGUUGGUUGUGUUCAAUGUACUCUUGUGCAAAAGCUGAAAGCAGAACAGAAGCACUCUUUCCACUCAGUAUCUCCAACAGAACAAUGCCAUAGCUGUAGACAUCUGCCUUUGCAUCAAUUUUCAGGUUCACCAUCCACUCUGGAGCCAUAUAACCUCUGGUGCCACGAACUUUCGAAAAUCCAACACCUUCAUCAUGAAUGUCUUUGAACAACUUAGACAUGCCAAAAUCUGCCACCUUAGGUUCAAGAUAGUCGUCUAACAGUAUAUUUUGAGGCUUUACAUCACAGUGGAGUACCCAUUUGCGGUGCCUAAUGCAAUCUUGUACCGCUUUUCCAAUCCAAGUUCAACAUCUGAGAACAAGAGUUUAUCAAAGGAUCCAUUUCUGUCUCCUUUAAUUGUUCCUCAACACCAAGUUUCCUGUUUCAAGAAGCUGAAGUUCCAUGACUUCCUUAGAGAAUGUGUUGGUUGACCACAUGACUGAACCUUGUGCAUCAGUCAAAACCAGGUUGCCAUUUCCAUGGAGGGUUAGCUUUGAGCCUCUUUUGUUGACAGGAUUAUCUCGGUUAGCCAUCCAGACAACUGUUUUAUUGACAGUAUUGGUGAACCAAACAGGAGGCAUUGGCGCCAACUUUGUAAAAUCCACUAGAAAAGGUUCCACUUGGUGAAACCAAGAAGUUGCUCUCUUCCUCAACUCUCAAGAAGUUCCGUUGCUUUAAGCUUGGCAACCCUUCUAACUGUGCUCGACUCCUAGCAAAGGUUACUGCAAAUAGCAAAAGAAGAAUAUACUCGGAAAUAUUCAUGGUGGAUUCUUUUGAAAAUGCUUUAGCCCUGGAGAUAUGGCAGUUGGCCAAUCUAGGCUUAUAAGGUAGAUUUCUUUGCAAUCUGGAUGAGAUUAUACAGAUGGCUUUCUUCAGGUAUCCAAAAGAAAUUGAGUUUUUCCAGAUCACAAUAGAAUUAAUGUUACAUACUUGCAUUAUUAAUUAUGAUAAACUGUUCUAUUAAUUUUCUUUCCAUUAAUUUAUGAGAUUCAAUGACUCGGUCAUGUUUGCCAUGUCUGUUUUAAACAUGCUUUCCAUAACGAAUGUACGUAGCAUCCAAAACAUUUGCAAAUUUAUAUCUUAUGAGUUAUGACUCAGAUACAAAGCAUCCAGAAAUAGCAUUCAGUAAUUUAUUUAUUUUCCAGAAGAAAACAAAUACAUAAUGGCAAAUCCAACAGGAUGCAGUUCAAGUAAAAUUUUACAGAUGCACUUGUAGGCUUGCAGGCAAAUCUAUUUAUUUUACAGAUGCACAUUACAUUCAUCUUCACAUUCUAGCAAAUCUUGUACUACUGAAUCCAUUGUUGGUCUUUUGUUCCUAUCUUCUUCCAGACAAGAAAUACCAAUCUUAACCAUCUUUUCUGCUUGUUUCCUGCUGAACUGCCCUUUUAAUCUUGGAUCCAACAUAUCCUCUAUCCAUGAAUUUUCUCCAGAUUGAAUCUUCCUUUUCACUAUCCUCACACACCUAGUAAGCUCUGCCUCUUGCUCCUCGGUAUCCUCCACUGCCCAAUUUGAAAGUCGAAUACCCUUCACCAGUUCUAGAAUCACCACCCCAUAACUGUAAACAUCCACUUUGGCAGUGAUCGGAAGGUUCAGUGCCCACUCCGGGGCCAUAUACCCUUUUGUUCCUCUAAUUCGAGAGAACAUUGAGCUCUGGCUUCCUCUCUGAGUCAACUUUGCUAGCCCAAAAUCUGCAAUCUUUGCCUCAUAGUUACUGUCCAAAAGUAUAUUUUCAGGCUUCACAUCACAAUGGAUAACCCAUUCUAGACACUCAUGGUGAAGAUAUGCCAAACCCUUUGCUACCCCUAUUGCAACUUUAAACCUUUCUUGCCAUCCAAGAAAUUUUGGGGGGAACAAAUGCUUGUCUAGUGAUCCAUUUUCAAUAAACUCUGACACCAGGAGUCUGUGUUUAUCUUCUGAACAGAAUCCCCAUAUUCUCACUAGGUUCAUGUGAUUGAUUUUACCAAUUGUGCUUACUUCUGCCCAGAACACAUCUUCAGCUUGAUAAAUGUCUGCCAAUUUCUUCACAGCAACCACUCUUUCAUCUUCCAAAACACCCUUAAACACAGCCCCAGAAGCCCCUCUUCCCAGCUCUUCCUUGAACUUUUGGUCGCCUUCUUGAGCUCAGCAUACCGAAACAUUCUAAACUGACUCGAAAUCACAUGAUACCCAUCUUCGAUAGGAGCUCUAGCACCUUGUCUUCUGAAAAGUAACCACCAACCUGAAAGUAUGAAGAGAAUUUCAACUGCACCAGCUGCAGUAGCAAACCAAUACAGAUAUAUCCAUCUUACCCUUUUAUUAGUAUUCACAUACAUCGAAGCAGAAACCAUUUUCCGGGCCUCAGCACUCUUAGAUGUAUCCAAGGCAUUGAGCUUUUUGACUAGUGAUGGUACUUCCACACUUGCAGGCAUUCUCAAGUAUAUAUUGCCCUCAAAAUCUGGAGACUUGAAGCCAUUGAAGAGAGCACUUUUUAUGUAACACCUCCCAUCCCCAUUUAGCCUAUAGCUAAAUGCCUCACACCGGCAAUCCCCCAAACAGAGCUCUCUGCAAUCAUCAAAUGAAACAGGUUUACUAUAAUUGAGAUCAAAUCCAUAAAAAUCUACUUGCGGAAUCCGCACAAAUUUCUCUUCUUGGGACUUCGAGCAUGUACGCUUGAACUUAGGCUUGCAGCCCAGCCUCAAGUUUCUUGCAUCGGCUACUUCAUAGCCAGGAGGGCAUGAACACUUUGGCCCUGGUGUAUAAAUACAAAUCCCAUUUUGCCCACAUAUCCCAUGAACCUUACAGAGUUCCACCAUAGCUUGCCAUGUGAUUUUCCACAAACCUGUUGAACUAUCAAGACUGUAAAGUCUUAGAUUUCCAUCAUAAUCCAUCGUCAACCGCCUUUUCACUCUCAAACCCAUGUCAAAAGCACUAAAUUGCAAUUCAUCACUAGACGAAAAACUACCAAGUUCAUCUAACACAGCAACUCUACUACUAUUGUAAGCAGUUCUACCAUUCUGAAACACACUAUAAUCAAUGUCAGGCCAAUACACGCUUGAAAUAUCAGGACCAUCGUACAUCAACCUCAGAACAUUAUCAUUACCAAAAUAGAAACUAAAAUAGCUCGUACUAAAAUCCUCUCUUCCCAAAUUAGAAAUCAACUUAUUGCUCUUUCUAAAGUGUUGAUUUGGGAGCAAAGUAUCAGUAGGAAAAUCAAAGCUUUGCCACAGAAUUUUACCACUAGGGUCCUUCAGAACAAGGUUGCCAGAAUCCAAAAGCUCAGCUCUAUCUGCAACAGUACUAGUACUCGAGUUGGUGCUGCUCUUCCAGAUGAUGGUUCCAUCUACAUCAGUCAAGACCAUCGAGCCAUCUCCACUCAGAUGGACUCUAGACCCCAAGCCAUUGACUGGCUUGUCCCUGUUGGCCAUCCAAGCAAUGGUUCUGUCUUUCGAGCCUGUGAACCAAACUGAGAACCAGUAAGCAUUUGUGCCAACACCAUGAAAUCCACACGUGAAGAAUCCGUCUGGUGAGGUUAGGAAAUCUGAAUCAUCCUCCACCGAAAGAGAGGAGCCUCUCUUGAGACUAGUUAGGGUUUUUGAGGUUGCAAAACAUAGGAGACAUAGAAUGGUGACUGAAAAAGCUUUGGACCUCAUUUCUGCUGAAGAGGUUUUACGUCUCUCUAACUACUGACUGUGCUUAUAUACUAGAAGGAGGAGGAGAAAAGUCAUCAAUGCUUAGUAAUCCUGUUGUUUUCAUACAAGAAAAAAUGGUUAGUAAUCCUGUUGUUUUCAUACAAGAAAAACUUGUAGAGGGUCUCACGUGUUAUUGUAAUCCAUGCAUGCAUAAAUUAGAUUCUUUUGAUGAGGUACUUAAUGUGUAGCACGCCUUAGGUUGAAGCAGAAGGCUUCCAAAGUUUGUACUUGAUCCGAAGUGAUUAAGAUUCUCAAAGAUCUUCCAUUCUUGUCAGGCCCGCUCACUUGCGGGAUAAGUUUUACCGGUGAAAAUUAUACAGUGCACCCGGGUGCGCCGCGCACCCGGGUGUAUCCACCGUACAUUUUGACCCGCCAAAAAAAAAAAAAAAAAUUAAACGGUGGAGAUGACGGGUGCGCCGCGCACCCGGAUGCGCCGAAUAGGCUCUCGUUUUACGGGAUAGAACAGGAUGAACUUUUUGCAGCCGUCAGAUCUUAAGUGAAACGAUUUGAUGGACAUAAGUGCAUAUACCAAUAAAAUCCGGAUUACUUUACCCGACAGUAGAUCACUUCACUCUCUCCCUCUCUCUCAAAGAUUCAGGCUUAGUUUCUGGGUUUCGNNNNNNNNNNNNNNNNNNNNNNNNNNNNNNNNNNNNNNNNNNNNNNNNNNNNNNNNNNNNNNNNNNNNNNNNNNNNNNNNNNNNNNNNNNNNNNNNNNNNNNNNNNNNNNNNNNNNNNNNNNNNNNNNNNNNNNNNNNNNNNNNNNNNNNNNNNNNNNNNNNNNNNNNNNNNNNNNNNNNNNNNNNNNNNNNNNNNNNNNNNNNNNNNNNNNNNNNNNNNNNNNNNNNNNNNNNNNNNNNNNNNNNNNNCCAAAUAGAGAAACCCCACCUCCGAGGCUCCGAAUACUCGACCAUAAUCAAUUCUCGAAAAUGGAGGACACCCACCUGUAGAUCCCAAUCUCAGAUCAACCCAUCUUCAUUGUGUGGAGUCUUUGUGAGAGAGAGACAGACGAGAUUAGCUGCAGGUUAAAGAAAAUCUCUCAAGUUAUUGCCUCUUGGAACUCAUCAACUCUUCUGGCCAAUCAAAGUAUAUAAGGUUGCAAUUGCAUCAAGGUCUUCCCCUCCGAACUGAGAGAGAGAGGUUCUAGGGAGGAAGAAGAUGCGAGAGAUUCAGACUCAGAGUUUUUGGUCGUAGAGACAAAAUCGGGACAUGGGUCUACGUAUUGUGUUUUAAUGUAUGUGCACUUGUGUCCAUCAGAUGGUUUCAUUUAAGAUCUGACGGCUGAAAAGAGUUCAUCCCGUUCUAUCCCGUAAAACUUAUCCCGCAUGUGAGCGGGCCUGCCAUUCUUGUUAUAUAUUAAAAAGGUUUCAAGCGUUCCGAGGUGAAAUGUGAUCAGAUCACAUAAUGAUCUUAGCAGAGUUUAAUGUUAUGUGCUAUAUUUCACCAGAUAGAUGCUGUGAUUGUUCUUUCAUUUUCUACAGUCUGGCCUUUCGAUUCAAGUGCCGUUCUUAUUUUUCUAGAUGGGUUACCAAUCUAGUAAAAAAAAAAAAAAUCAAUCAAAUUUAAGAUCGUAUCAUAUUAUCAAAUAACUUAAAAACAAAUUGUUGAUUAAUGAUACGACUGUUCUUUCAAACUUAAUUAGAGGAUAUCAAACUUGCGAUAUAAUGUUAGGUAAUAGUCGAGCGGUUGCUUAGAAGACCAAUAUACCUUAGUUUUGAAAAGCAUGUUAAUUGGCAAGGAAGAAAAUGACAUAACAUAACGAUACUAGGGAGGAAUUUUUGUGGUUUUGUCUAAGAAAGAAAAUUUCGGUGAUUAUGGAAAUUUCGACCGUCCAAAAUAUGGAAAUUUCGAUAAAAAUUUUGGGGAAAUAUCGAUUAGACAUGGGUUUAUAUUGACUACCUAGUCAAGAAAUUGACUGGUAACGACUGGUGCACCCAAAAAUUAGAGGAAUUGUCCAAUAAAGUCCAGAUACCAUUCCAUUUUCACAUUUCUGAUCUUGUUUUCUUCGGGUCUUUUGUCUUUGGAGUGAGAAAGACGUAAUCUAGAGGAAAAGGAACAGCAAUUUCAAUGUGGUGAAAAUGGAAAGAAUCACAAGCUUUACAUGAAAAUGAGACCUCUUAUGUCAUGUUAUACAUUUACAAUACGAAUCAAACAAUGCUGAGGGCCUUUCUGGUAUACUCUUUCAUGAGCAGGAAGAGUCACUCUCAUCAAGGCAAACCUUUCUGGUAUGCCAAAUCACAUGAUGUCGUGUUUCAAAUGUCCCAAAAGCAAUCAAAUUGACAAACAUGAAAGAAAUUUCUUGUGGGGGACUGAUAUGAAACAAGCCCCGGUAGCAUGGAAGGAAGUUUGCAAACCAAAGAUGUUAGGAGGGCUAGGAAUAAGGCCUUCUGUUUUUUCAAUAAUGCUGCAAUUGCAAAAUUAGCUUGGAAAAUUAUCACUGAUAAAGACAAUUGGUGGGUGCAGGUAACUACAAGGAAGUACUUGAGGAAAAAUUCUUUUUUCCAAGCAAAGAAGAAACAGAAAAAUUCUUUAGCUUGGAAUGGAAUUUUGGAUACAAGAGAUCUAAUCAUGAAAGGUAUGAGAUGGAUUUUGGGAAAUGGUGAGUCCAUAAAAUUCUGGACUUUCAAUUGGGUUUUUGACUUUCCCUUAAUUAACUUGAUUCCUGAGCAUAUGAGGAAUAAUAUUAAUAUUGAGGAAAAUAUCAGUGAUUAUAUUAAUCUAGGUAGCUGGGACAAACAGAAUAGCUGAGGUCCCAACUCAAUGAUGAAAUAGUGAAGGAAAUCUUGGGAAUCCCCAUACCACUUAAUCCUUUUGACGAUGAGUUUAUUUGGGGACCUGCUUCUCAUGGGAGGUUCACAAUUAAAUCUGCUACUUGGCUUCAACUGCAUGACAAUUAGAAGUAUAAGCGACUUGAGCUCAUUAAGAAGCUUUGGUCCUUGAAUGUUCAACCAAAGAUUAAAUUCUUUGGAUGGCUUGUACUUAUAGGCAGACUUAAGACCAGAGAUAGACUCUCUCGGUUUGGACUAAUCCAAGAUAAUACUUGCCCUCUUUGUAAUGAAGAUAAUGAAACUCUUGAUCAUUUGUUUAGUGUGUGCAGGUACACUAAGAAAGUUUGGAACUCGGCUAAUAUGUUGCCCCCAAUUGAUUGGGAUGAAGGAUUCUUCAAUGUGCUCAAUAGUUGGUUCAUUGAUAGUCCUUUUGAUAAAGAAUUAUUUGGAAAAAUUACUUUGUAUUGGCAGAUAUGGAGAGCAAGGAAUGACACUAUCUUUAGGGGUAAAAACCCCAGUCCUAGAUCCAUACCUGCCAUUACUGCCUAUGAUCAAAAUGUUGGCCCUGAUUCUGAUACACAGACGGUUGCUAUGCCAAGUAAUAUGAGCACAAAUAUGAUUAGGUGGACACCACCCCUUUCUAAUUGGGUUAAAAUAAACUUUGAUGGUUCUGUCCAGAACAAGGCUGCAGCUGGAGGUUUUGUUUUAAGAUCUGAUGAUGGAAAACCUCUUGUUUCUGCUGCCUUCAACUCUGGUACUGCCAGUGUUCCUCUUGCUGAAGCGCUGGAGUUUAGAAACAGCUUACUUUGCGCUAAGGAGAAAGGUGUGUUGAAGGUCGAAGUGGAGGGCGAUUCAAAACUCAUUAUUGACAUUAUGAAUGGAGUUUGUGAUCCCCCUUGGAGGCUUUUGAAAGUUGUUAAAGACAUCAAAUUGCUAAGUUGUAACUUUAAGUCCAUUAGGCUCAAGCAUGUUUUUAGGGAGGCCAAUUUUGUGGCCAAUGCUUUGGCAAAUCUAGGGCAUAGAGUUGAGAUUAGUAGAUUUUGGGUGGAGUGUGUUUCCCUAGGAGCCUCACUUGCUCUUGUGUUUGAUUCUGUAAACUCUGGGUGUCAUCGAGGAACCUCUAUUUAAUUUAAGUUUUUUUUUUAUACAAAAAAAAAAACAAAAUGCUGAGGGCCAGCCCUAAGCCUCGAGUCUCAGAUUUUAAAACUCAUAGAAAAUAGAGAUAAUGCCCAUUAGCCCUAAUUUUAAAAAAUUCUCACUAACAAAAUCAGAUUUUAAAAUUCUCAAAAGCCAACUUAAACAGCAGAAAGACAAAUAUACCCUUAAUAAAUUAAAUAAACUAUAAUAGACAAUUAUAAGACCAGAAAGACAAUUAUACCCUUAAUGAAUUAAAUAAAUUACAAUAGACCAUGAUAAGAGUCUAUUAUAAAAUAAAGUUUUUAUAACCGAAUUCCCACGACCAAUGACAUUGACCGAACUCCGGCAACCUUUGACCGGGCUCCGGGGACAGUUGACCGUGCUUCGGGGACGGUUGACCGGGCACCAGGGGCCGUUGAUCAAGCUCCGGAGACCGUUAUGCUUUAGUCACUUAUAACAGGUCCCUAUUGGGGGCAAUAUGCCCAUCUAUUGGGGGCAGUAGGACCUCCUACUGGAGGCAGUAGGACUUUGAGGACAGUUGACCGAACUCCGGAGACAGUUGUGCUUUAGUCACUUAUAACAGGUCCCUAUUGGGGGCAAUAUGCCUAUUUAUUAGGGUCAGUAGGACCUCCUAUUGGGGCAGUAUGACCACCUACUGGGGACAUGACAGUUGGAUAUCCUACUGGGGGCAGUAGGACCUCCUAUUGAGGGCAGUACGACUCUUGAACUUAAGAUAUAAGAUAUAUAUGUAUUAAUAAAAGUUUUGAAAUGGAAGAAGUGGAGUCUAUAAUAUUCUAUAAGAUGUAAGACUGAGAAGAUAACUUCUACCUAAAUCUACACCAAAAGAAUGAAAACAAGUGACUCUUGACACCCUAAUUGAAGGACAAUAUGACAUACACAAAGAGCAUAAUAUUCCUCCACUAGAAUGUCCUACUGCCCCUAGUAGGAUGUAUGACCACCUACUAGGGGCAGUAUGACAUCCUACUGGAGGCAGUAUGACCACCUACUGGGGUCAGUAGGGGCAGUAUGACCUCCUACUAGGGUCAGUAAGAGGUUCGUCGAGGGGUCUAAUGGGAGAAGUAUGGGAUUCGUCGGGGGGUCUAUUGGGGGCAAUAGGGGGUUCGUUGGGAGGUCUAUUGGGGGCAGUAGGGGUCUAUUGAGAGCAGUAAGGGGUUCGUAGGGGUAUAUUGGGGGUAGUAGGAGGUUCGUUGGGGGUCUAUUAGGGGCAGUAGGAGGUCUAUUGGGGGCAAUAAGGGAAUGUGUCGGGUGGUCUAUUGGGGGCAAUAAGGGGUCUAUCAAGGGCAGUAAACAUCUAUUCCCCUCAAUAGAUCUCAUCCCAACAUGAAAAUUACAUUACAAAAAUACAAAAGACCUACUUU
RNAcentral lists this long non-coding RNA (30851 nucleotides) under Fragaria vesca (wild strawberry). RNAcentral describes it as "long non-coding RNA (FVES_LNC002861)". Lineage: Eukaryota; Viridiplantae; Streptophyta; Magnoliopsida; Rosales; Rosaceae. The record is from RNAcentral.